This is a long non-coding RNA of Rhodamnia argentea, 155 nucleotides long. RefSeq lists it as uncharacterized. Lineage: Eukaryota; Viridiplantae; Streptophyta; Magnoliopsida; Myrtales; Myrtaceae. The transcript has 2 exons. The record is from RefSeq and is a predicted model, not a curated record.
UUUCGUCAUUGUCCCUAGGGAUCUAACUGGAGGGAUGUCUUUAAACAUCCCAGGUCGAUCACAGCAGGGCACCAGAAAGCAGUGUAGAAUAGUUGGGUUUUGAUGCUUCGAUCAUGAAUAAGGUUUUGCUAUCAUUCUCAAAGCGCUGAUGACCC